Molecule: non-coding RNA, 1369 nt
Organism: Pelobates cultripes (western spadefoot toad)
Lineage: Eukaryota; Metazoa; Chordata; Amphibia; Anura; Pelobatidae
Source: the annotation of a GenBank genome assembly
CUCCACCCUUGGCAUCGAAACACUGAACUUUCCUCAUUGAGAUGCACUGAGUCAAUGCAACUCUAUAAGAUGCUGUUUGGCCAGGGCUGUGUUUGGCUUUUGCUGGUUUUCCUAUGGGAAAGCAUUGUGAUUGGCUAAGAUCAACGCUUCUGAUGAUGUAAGCCAUCUCAGCUCUAAAUGAUAAUGACCCUCUAGUGUUCCUAUGAUGAAGUACCACUUGAGCACAGAAAAAAAAAAAACCUCUCUCCCCCUCCCUCCAAAUUCCAUGUACAUUCUGUUAUGGAUAUUAGUAGGAAUAUGUGUAUUCAUAUUAGGCUGCAAUUUAACCCCUUAAGGACACAUGACAUGUCAUGAUUCCCUUUUAUUCCAGAAGUUUGGUCCUUAAGGGGUUAAAGCAGAUACAUACUGAAUAGUUUAAGAUGUUCUCUGCCACUCAUCACAUAACACAAAUCUCUAAAGCAAGUUAUGUAAUACUCAUCAACUAAACACUUAUUAGAAAGGUCCAGUUCUAUUGUGGCCGGACAAGGCCGCCUGUUGAUAUAGUGCAACUAUAACCAAAUAACACAAUCAUUUGAGUGCUAUCAGUUAUGGCCAUCAUUAGCUCUUUUCAAAAUAGCAUGAAAGGAGCUAAGCAAAUACCAGAACUGCUGCAACUACCACCAACUUGGGCAACUGAAGAUUUGUAACCAAUCUCAAUUAAUAACUGAAUACGCUAUAGCUCGUUUGGAAAAUAAUGGGGUGGCUAGAAUCGAUGGAUAUGUGCUAGCUAAUCUGGGUAAAGCACACAUCAAAAUGGUGCAAAUCCUGCAAAUCUGAAGUAAAGCUAGGAAUUUAAAAAGGUUUUUUCCCCCCACCUGUUUGGAUAUUUGAAUGCAUUAGCUAUAUAAUAUGGAAAAAAUAGGGUUCAUUACCAAACCGUGGUAUUCAUUUAAAUGAACACGCCAAACACAUCAAGCACUUGCUUUACGUGUGAAGAAAGAGUGUGCUUUAUUUUCUUCCAUUUUAGAAAAGUUCUAACUUCAAUAGAGCCUUGAUGCAUCUCUUGGCUGUCAGACAGUUAGUAGCAUUUUCUUCCUGCUCGGUGAAACGCAAUUUAAGAGGCAGGGAGGGCUUGCAGUAGCUGCAGAAACUAGAUAUGCAGCUAGUGUAAGCAAAGCUAUCAUCACUAUCCAAAUUAGAGCAAGACAAAUAAUUGAAUGCAUGUUUCUUUGGGGGUAUAUCUACAAAGUGGCUACACGGAUUUAUUCAAAGAACAUCAUGGACAUCAUCAACUGUAAACAAAAUCAAAAAAAGUAACCCUCCAAGUAAUUAAAUACACAACUCUGCAGCUCAGCCCCAUACAGCAUCUUCCAAAUAGGCCUCUAAUGUA